This is a long non-coding RNA of Passer domesticus (house sparrow), 797 nucleotides long. RefSeq lists it as uncharacterized. NCBI's taxonomy places the organism in Eukaryota, Metazoa, Chordata, Aves, Passeriformes, Passeridae. The transcript is spliced from 3 exons. The record is from RefSeq and is a predicted model, not a curated record.
GAGGACACUGUGCUGGAGCAGGUCUGCUGUCAGGAGUUGUGAUCCCACAGGGGACUCAGGCUGGAGGGAUUCCUGAAGGACUGCGGUGCUGAGAAUGGGAGUGACAGAAUGGCUUUUGUGGGCACCUGAUAUACAGACAGGGUUAACCUGGCAAAGUUAAACAAGGCAUUUUCAUCUUCAAAAUUUCUGUUUGUUCCAGGAAAUCUAUGAUUUCCAAACCCAUGGAGGUGUUUGAGUCCACAAGACUGCAAGCAGGUCCACAGCUUCAGUAUCUGGUUUUGGACAUAAAGGUACCGAUGGUUCAUCUGAGCCUGCCGAGAGCAGGGAGGGGCUUACUUCAUGCCUCUUAGAUUUGUGGCAGAGUAGUAAAAAAUGCCAUGAAAUCGUGUCUCUGAAUUUGGAUGAACUCGAUGGCAAAGAGAAAGCUGAAGAAAAUGAUCUGAGAGUUUUUUGUGGUGGAAGAGGAUUUGAUACUUGUACAUACCUUAACUGUGUCUAUCUGAACUGCGCCAUUGUAAGAUAACCUUGAAGGCAGCUGCACAUGUAUCUAACCCCUGUCUUUCAGAACACUUUAAUCUUGCACCCUGACAAAUAUUGCCACAGUGAGUACUGUAUAGAUAAGAUGUGAGCUAAAGCCUACCAAAGUUUGCCAAACCCUUUUCUACCUAUGAAAUCCUAAAUAAGCUUAGUAUAGAAAAGUGGUUUAAGGUAUCUUUGUUUCAUCCUGUGAGCAGCUUGCAAGGCUUAAAUGACAGUAUUUUACCUUUUGAAAAGAUAUUCACCCCCAAAAUUAUUCA